CCUACGGGGUGCAGCAGUGGGGAAUAUUGGACAAUGGGCGAAAGCCUGAUCCAGCCAUGCCGCGUGUGUGAAGAAGGCCUUCGGGUUGUAAAGCACUUUCAGUGGGGAAGAAAGCCUUGGGGCUAAUACCCUCGAGGAAGGACAUCACCCACAGAAGAAGCACCGGCUAACUCCGUGCCAGCAGCCGCGGUAAUACGGAGGGUGCGAGCGUUAAUCGGAAUUACUGGGCGUAAAGCGCGCGUAGGCGGUCUGAUAAGCCGGUUGCGAAAGCCCCGGGCUCAACCUGGGAACGGCAUCCGGAACUGUCAGGCUAGAGUGCAGGAGAGGAAGGUAGAAUUCCCGGUGUAGCGGUGAAAUGCGUAGAGAUCGGGAGGAAUACCAGUGGCGAAGGCGGCCUUCUGGACUGACACUGACGCUGAGGUGCGAAAGCGUGGGUAGCAAACAGGAUUAGAUACCCUUGUAGUC
This 465-nucleotide ribosomal RNA is filed under the name Vreelandella stevensii. RNAcentral describes it as "partial 16S ribosomal RNA". It matches the Rfam family "Bacterial small subunit ribosomal RNA", at positions 338 to 795 of the family's 1533-position model. Lineage: Bacteria; Pseudomonadati; Pseudomonadota; Gammaproteobacteria; Oceanospirillales; Halomonadaceae. The record is from RNAcentral.